AAAGGGUGCGUAGGCGGUUUAUUAAGUCAGUGGUGAAAGACGGUCGCUCAACGAUUGCAGUGCCAUUGAUACUGGUAGACUUGAGUGGGAUUGAGGUAGCUGGAAUGGAUAGUGUAGCGGUGAAAUGCAUAGAUAUUAUCCAGAACACCAAUUGCGUAGGCAAGUUACUAAGUCUCAACUGACGCUGAGGCACGAAAGUGUGGGUAUCAAACAGGAUUAGAUACCCCGGU
This 230-nucleotide ribosomal RNA is filed under the name uncultured bacterium. RNAcentral describes it as "partial 16S ribosomal RNA". It matches the Rfam family "Bacterial small subunit ribosomal RNA", at positions 562 to 791 of the family's 1533-position model. The record is from RNAcentral.